This is a non-coding RNA of Podarcis muralis (Common wall lizard), 1857 nucleotides long. Lineage: Eukaryota; Metazoa; Chordata; Lepidosauria; Squamata; Lacertidae. The record is from RefSeq and is a predicted model, not a curated record.
GGGUGGAUACGCUCCUUCAGGUAUACAGGGCAAAAAAAGUUUAGGGCUUUAAAGGUCAGCACCAGCACUUUGAAUUGUGCUUGGAAACAUUUCCAUUGAAUUCACUGGGAUUAAAUGUCCUCCUCUUUAGAUGGAACGGGCACCUGGUAUUGAAAGGACUGCUUAUGCUUGAUUGGACCAUGUCGUCCAACACUCUUUUCCCAACAGAGCCAAGCAAGUAUUUCUGGGAAGCUUCCAAACAGAGCAAGAUGGCAAUAUUACACCCACCCACCCCACCUCGAAUGUCUCUGCUACAUUAAGCACAUUAAAGUGGAACACCAAACAUGAAAAUUUCUGUGAAAUCAUUGGAUCCAGGACUCUCACCCACCUCCCUUACGCUUGAGGCAUUACACAUAACUGAAGGAGCUUGUUUUAAUGACAGGAGAAAAGUGAAGGAAAAAUAGUCCAGUCCUGCCAAAAUCAUUGGGAACAUGCCAACCAGUUUAUUGGGGGAAAGCGAGAGAGUUGAAUAGCAUCUAUAUGCAAUCAUUAACGGGAAAAUGUAUGAGUUCCAGUUCAGCAAGGGAGAUUGCCGUUGUUGCUGAUCUACAUCUGAGUGCCAUUGAUUUAAUGAAUGCAUCUGUUGGGAGGCUCAUGCAUGGCCAAAUGGGACUAUUAAUUGCAUUCAUCAGUAUAAGGCCACUGGUUUUUCUAGUAUAACCAACAUGAUUCCAAAAAAUAAAGAAACACAAAUAAUUGUGGCACCUUAAAGCGUAGCAAGUUUAUUGCAGAGUGAGUUUAUUUCAUAGACAAAAGCCACUUCCUCAAAUGCAAGAAGUGCAUCGCAGACAUAAUGCUGCAGUGAAAGGCCACACUGGUGUUGAAAAAAGAGGAAAAAAGUUGGUGGUCCACUAAGACUAAGCACGCAUACAAUUUUAGAAAUAAAAAAACCAGGCAGGCAAAUUAGAUGAAUGAACCUUUUUUUUAUUAUGAUUUCAUUUUAAGGCACACAAAUGUUCCAGGUGAUUAAUGUUUGUGGUGUAGUAGGUGUAUUUAAUAAUUUCUCAAUGAGAAAUUUAUGACUGCAAAGAAAGAAGAUUGCAAAAUAUCACUAAGGCUUCAGUUAGUCAUUUCUGGCAGCUUUUGAAAAUCACCACUAUUCAUUAAGCAAUAAUGUUAGAGGGUAUGUGAAAAAGCUUGCUGUGAUUAGACUGAAAAUAGGAAAGGGUGAUGUCCAAUUCUUCUGGCGUGCAUGAAGUAGAGAGGGAAUGAAAUAUUCCUAUGAGAUGGGGGUAAACACCCAAAAAACCUCAAGCCUAAGCAUGUCUGUGUGGAAGUAAAUCCUAUGGAUGUUAAUGGAUCCUUGCUCCAAAUCAAUGUGCUGAGGACUGCAGUUUGGGGCUGCAAUCCUAUGCACACUGAUCUGAGAGUAAGCCCGACAGAAAACAAGGGGACUUCUGAGCAGACAUGCAUAGGAUUGUACUGUCAAUGUUAUUGUCUAGGACUGAUUCACACAACCGUGUUCUCUUAUGGCAUCAAUAUAGUAGCAUGGAGCUCAUCUGAUGAUAAAAGAGCUACCUGGAAUCUCCAUGCCUUCGCCAGUUGUGUGAACAGACCUUUAAAAACCGGUGAAGAUAUUGAGCCUUCGUAGUUUUUAGACAGCUUGGUGAGAUUUUUAAGUCUACCAUAUUAAAGGCUUCACUAACCACAUAAUCUAACUCUAAUUAUUAGGGCUUUCGUGUAAUUAAGAGAAAUCUUGGCUGAUAUAAUUGUAUGAGUUUUACUCACAGUGGCAUACAUUUGCAUAUGUAAAGAAUAAGAAUACUAAAGAAGAAAAGUACUUCCUUUAGUUAGAUUGUGUGUGUGUGUGUGUGUGUG